UACGAAGGGUGCAAGCGUUAAUCGGAAUUACUGGGCGUAAAACGCGCGUAGGUGGUUUUGUAAGUUGAAGGUGAAAUCCCCGGGCUCAACCUGGGAACUGCAUUUGUGACUGCAAGGCUAGAGUACGGCAGAGGGGGGUAGAAUUCCAAGUGUAGCGGUGAAAUGCGUAGAGAUUUGGAGGAAUACCAGUGGCGAAGGCGGCCCCCUGGCACAAUACUGACGCUGAGGUGCGAAAGCGUGGGGAGCAAACAGG
RNAcentral lists this ribosomal RNA (253 nucleotides) under uncultured bacterium. RNAcentral's name for it is "partial 16S ribosomal RNA". It matches the Rfam family "Bacterial small subunit ribosomal RNA", at positions 524 to 776 of the family's 1533-position model. The record is from RNAcentral.